AUACUUACCUGGCAGGGGAGAUACCAUGAUCACGAAGGUGGUUUUCCCAGGGCGAGGCUUAUCCAUUGCACUCCGGAUGUGCUGACCCCUGCGAUUUCCCCAAAUGUGGGAAACUCGGCUGCAUAAUUUGUGGUAGUGGGGGACUGCGUUCGCGCUCUCCCCUA
This 164-nucleotide small nuclear RNA is filed under the name Myotis davidii. RNAcentral describes it as "U1 spliceosomal RNA". It matches the Rfam family "U1 spliceosomal RNA". From Rfam's summary of the family: U1 is a small nuclear RNA (snRNA) component of the spliceosome (involved in pre-mRNA splicing). The record is from Rfam by way of RNAcentral. Lineage: Eukaryota; Metazoa; Chordata; Mammalia; Chiroptera; Vespertilionidae.